GGGUCCAUAGCUCAGCUGGGAGAGCGCUUGAAUGGCAUUCACGAGGUCAGGGGUUCGAUCCCCCUUGGAUCCA
Molecule: transfer RNA, 73 nt
Filed under: bacterium
Lineage: Bacteria
Also listed under: 2 other names
Description: tRNA-Ala
Rfam family: tRNA
About the family: Transfer RNA (tRNA) molecules are approximately 80 nucleotides in length.
Source: RNAcentral